This is a long non-coding RNA of Loxodonta africana (African savanna elephant), 3387 nucleotides long. RefSeq lists it as uncharacterized. The record is from RefSeq and is a predicted model, not a curated record. Lineage: Eukaryota; Metazoa; Chordata; Mammalia; Proboscidea; Elephantidae. The transcript has 3 exons.
UAAUGUUUGCAAAAUUCCUGUGCCAAGUCUCUUCUAGUCUAAAAGUUUGCUUACUGUUUAAUGUUUUUAUUACAGAAUAGAGUGUCUUGAAUGAGGAAGGUGGCUAUUGAAACCUACCUCGAAAGAAGAAAGGGGCUGUGAUUGGAUGUCCCCGUGGUCCACUGCUUUCGACCCAGAGGAGGAAUGAGAGGGCUCAUAAGCUACUGUCCCACUGAGCUUGGCUAUGAUUUGUGAACAAAACUGUCUUUGUCGAUGCAAACUGUGUCAGCUCAGAAGUCCCGGCCUGCUCAGAUGUUCAAGGCUCCCCAGCUCUCCACUUCUCUGUCUUAAGCCAAUUUCUGUGGAAGAAAUUACUGGAAAGUAAGGAGUUGUGUAAAUCUGCUGCAAAGGACCUCUUUAAAGUCUUAAAAAGCAGAGAUGUCACCUUGAAGACUAAGGUGCACCUGACCCAAGCCACGGUGUUUUCAAUCACUUCAUAAGCUGGACAAUGAAUAAGGAAGACCGAAGAAGAGUUGAUGCCUUUGAGUUGUGGUAUUGAUGAAAAAUAUUGAAUAUACUAUGGACUACCAAAAGGACAAACAAAUUUGUCUUAGAAGAAGUACAGCCAGAAUGCUCCUUGGAAGCAAGGAUGGCAAGACUUUGUCUCACAUACUUUGAGCAUAUUUUCAGGAUAGAUAAGUCCCUGGAGAAGGACAUCAUGGUUGGAAAAGUAGAGGGUCAGCAAAAAAGAGGAAGACCCUCAAUGAGAUGGGCUAACACAGUGGCUGUAAUAAUGAGUUCAAGCAUAAAAACGAUUGUGAGAAUGGCCCAGGACUGGGCAGUGUUUCAUUUUGUUGCACAUAGAGUUGCUAUGAGUCAGAACCAAUUCGGCAGCAAAUAACAACGACAACAACAAGGAGAAAGGAAGACUUGUGUCACCUAUGGUGUUCUUUCCUAAGACCUGUUUGUGGAUGGCAGCAUUAGAAAAAAAAUAUAUCUUCUUAAAAAUAAUCAGCCUUGCUCAUUCAAAAAAAACCUGGCAAUUUCCUCCAUGACUUUCGUAAGUUACAGUGAAAAGGCUUCUUCUACAGCUGAGCACAUGAGUGUGAAAAGCUAAUGGAUAUUUUUCUCAGGAAAUGAAGAGAAACAUUUACUCAAAAUCAUAGUUCCUUUGGAGAAGCAUCGUCCAGGUGUUACAUCUACAAAAUAAAGGCUAAAAAUAUGCUGUUAAAGUUAAGAGUUUAGACUCUAUUUAGACUAGGUUCAAAUCUUUUUUUUUCUUUUGGUCACUUCUGUAUUUCAUCAUCUGUACAAUGAGGAAAGGAGUCCCUGGGUGGUGCAAACAGUUAAGCUCUUAGCUACUAACCAAAAAGUCGAUGGUUUGACCCCACCCAGAGGCAUCUCAGAAGUGAGUCCUGGCAAUCUACUUGCAAAAAGUCACAGCCAAUGAAAACCCUAUGGAGCACAGUUCUACUCUGACACACAUGGGGUCGCCAUCAGUCAAAAUCGACUUGACAGCAACUGGUUUCUUGUUGUUUUCAUGAUAGGGAAAAGUUGUUCUGAGAACUAAAAGAAAAUACAUUAAUUCAACAAAUAUUUGUUAAAUGCCUUGUACUUACCGGGCUUUAUCCUGGGUGCUGAGGGUACAGUGACAAACGAGGCAAUGUCUCUGUUCAUGCAAACUCUCAUUCUACUGGGGGAAUGGCUGACGUAACAAAUAAAUGAACAAGAUAAUUGUAAUUGCCUUUAAAGGGCUCCCCUUUAGAUGGGAGUGGUCUGGGAGGACUUCUAUGGGAAGGUGACGCUUGAACUGAGGUGUGGCUAAAGAGAAGGAGCCAGCUCUGUGAAUAGGAUGGGUUGGGAGUCCAGGCAGAGGGGAGAGCAAGGAUAAAGGCCUAAGCUGGGAUUCAGCUUGGCAUGUUCAAAGAACAGAAAGUAGGCCAGCGUGGCUAGAGUGAUACAAGGUGAAGUCAGAGGGGCAAUUCGGACCAUGGUAAAAAGUAUGCAUGUUUAUGUUUUUAAAAGGCCACUCAAGUUCCUGCGAGAAGGAUGCAUUACAGGAGGUAAGGGGUCUGGAAUACCAAGCAGGAGACAACUGCAGUCAUCACCAUUGAUGAUGGCAGUUUGGGCUGGGGCUGUGGCUGUGGGGGCAUAGAGAGAAGCGGACAGAUUUAGAAUGUAUUUCGGAGGCAGAACUUUCAGGAUGUGGCGAUGGAUUGCACAUGCUGAGUAAAAAGAGGAAACAAGUAUCACUCCUAGGCCCUUCAUUUAAGCAACCAGAUGGCUAUGACAACUAUUAGGUUAUUUAUUGUUUUUCAACUCCAAACUUACCCUUCUAUACUCUGUUUUGUAAUGUCAGGGCUGGGACUCUGCAAAUCACUUUUCUGCUUUUCCAGCUGACUCCCUACUAGUCCCGUCAAUAGUGGGUGUCAGAGGGAGAUGGCAAGUCUCUCAGAAGGGACUUACUCCUCCCCAUCUGCUUCCUCUUCCUGAGAGCGGCAUCCUAGCAAGGCACCCCUGCAGCACUGGUUUUUUUCUGUAGCAGUGGUUGACCCAGUUUGCAAUUUUUCCAACAAUUGCAGAAUUAAAUUUAUGCCUUCUCAGAGAGGCACCAGUAUCACCCAAGAAGAACUCCCUACUCAGAGGUCAGACUUACAGCUUUGAGGGGACCCUCCUUUACAUUUCUAAAUACUGAUAAUUCGGUCUUCUUUCCUUUGCUUCCUCAGCCCUAAGGGUGGUAGUUGCUUCCUGUAGUUGCUGUAUCUCUCUAAUACCUUGUUGUUUUCGUUAGUUGCCAUGGAGUUGGCUCUGACUCACGGCAACCCAAAGUACAACAGAACAAAAUGUUGCCUGGUCUCAGGCCAUCUUCGUGAUUGUUGAUAUACUUAAAUCCAUUGUUGUGGCCACUGUGCAUUUUAGUUCCUUCCAACCUAGGAGAUUAUCUUCCAGCACUAUGUUGGACAACAUUCUGUCAUGACCCAUAGGGCUUUUUUCGAAAAUAGAUCGCCUAGUCUGUCUGGAAGAUUUGCUGAAAUCUGUCCCCCAUGGUGACCCUGCUGGCAUACCACUAGCAUAGCUUCCAGCCUCAUAGUAGCGCACAAGCCACCACAGUAUGACAAGCUGACAGAUGGGUGGUAACCACAACACCUUUAAGUCCUCUUUUUACCCUUUCAGUUACCAGGUAACUGUCACUGAUUUUCUUUUCUUUUUUUUUUUUGGCCUAUUCACACAGUUCUGUUCCAUUAGCCUAUUAGCACACUGUCUAAAUUCCUAUACCUUUAUUUAAAACAAACAAACAAAUAAAUUCAUUCCCAUCGAGUUGAUCCUGAUUCAUGGUAACUCCAUGUGCUUCAGAGUAGAACUAUGCUCCACAGAGUUUUCUUGGCUUUUUUUUUUUUUUCCACAUUC